Molecule: long non-coding RNA, 576 nt
Filed under: Salmo salar (Atlantic salmon)
Lineage: Eukaryota; Metazoa; Chordata; Actinopteri; Salmoniformes; Salmonidae
Description: lncRNA (ENSSSAG00000107502.1)
Source: RNAcentral
CUCACCCUCUCAGUUACCCAGGUAGAUCCUACUCACCCUCUCAGUUACCCAGGUAGUUCCUACUCACCCUCAGUUACCCAGGUAGAUCCUACUCACCCUCUCAGUUACCCAGGUAGAUCCUACUCAGCCUCUCAGUUACCCAGGUAGAUCCUACUCACCCUCUCUGUUACCCAGGUAGAUCCUACUCACCCUCUCAGUUACCCAGGUAGAUCCUACUCACCCUCUCAGUUACCCAGGUAGUUCCUACUCACCUUCUGUUACCCAGGUAGAUCCUACUCACCCUCAGUUACCCAGGUAGAUCCUACUCACCCUCUCAGUUACCCAGGUAGAUCCUGCUCACCCUCUGUUACCCAGGUAGUUCCUACUCACCCUCUCAGUUACCCAGCUAGAUCCUACUCACCCUCUGUUACCCAAGUAGUUCCUACUCACCCUCUCAGUUACCCAGGUAGUUCCCACUCACCCUCUCAGUUACCCAGGUAGAUCCUACUCACCCUCUCAGUUACCCAGGUAGCUUGUGAAUGAAGUUUCUCUACCUUAAAGUAUAUCAAGAGCAGGGGCUGGUAGUGAUGUAGCUAG